GGUUCUAGCUCAGUGGCAGAGUGCUUGCCUAGCAUGUGUGAGGUACUGGGUUCAAUCCUCAGCACCA
This 67-nucleotide transfer RNA is filed under the name Marmota monax (woodchuck). RNAcentral's name for it is "tRNA.Ala". The record is from RNAcentral. Lineage: Eukaryota; Metazoa; Chordata; Mammalia; Rodentia; Sciuridae.